AGAGUUUGAUCCUGGCUCAGAAUGAACGCUGGCGGCGUGCUUUACACAUGCAAGUCGAGCGAGGCGGCCCGCAAGGGUCAGUCGAGCGGCGAACGGGUGAGUAACACGUGGAUUAUCUGCCCAGAGGUGGGGGAUAACCAC
This 141-nucleotide ribosomal RNA is filed under the name uncultured Acidobacteriota bacterium. Its description in RNAcentral is "uncultured Acidobacteria bacterium partial 16S ribosomal RNA". It matches the Rfam family "Bacterial small subunit ribosomal RNA", at positions 8 to 150 of the family's 1533-position model. Lineage: Bacteria; Pseudomonadati; Acidobacteriota. The record is from RNAcentral.